UCCCUGAAGUUUCAGCUUUAUUAAGUGGCGACGAGAAAAGUGGAAAAUUAAAAGUGUAACCGGUAGUGUUUGCUUCGGAAAGCAGAAAACAUUGUUGCAGCGGCGUACUGCACCUAGUGGAUUUAGGCAAUUUAGUGUGCGAGAAAAACAGCAAAAGUGCAAAAGUCCGUGGCUUUGAUUGCGUUUUCGCAGCCGGACAGUGUACAGAUUUAGUUUGCAGCUGUUUUGUAUUCAGCUGGUGUCUGCGUUUUUAAAUCUCACUGGUUCUUUGGAAAAUUGCCGACAAAUCAUCCAGUAGGACAAACGACCGGAUUAUUUUAAUUCAGAGCGGACCAAGCUCCAUGAAACGUUUAAAGACGGCUACUGGAUAGAUCUUCUGGACAUUUUGAAUCAACCGGGUGCAGCCUGAAUAGUUUUUGCAGCGUUAAAAAAAAGAGGAUUGAGCCAGCGAGUCUGGUCAGAAUAUUUCUUUGACAGACUUUUGCGGUCAAGAGUAUACCGGUAUCUGGUGUCGGUUGGAAACGUCGUCAUCACGGCGCAUCGUAGUCAACUUAAACCAGCGAAAUAUUCACCUGCUAAGGCGUGCGGAAUAGUUUUCCCUGGCGCUAGCAGCGAUAAGGAGGUGCGUGUCGAAGGUACCAACCGCAAGCGAAGUUUUCGCUCAACAAGUUUUUGCAACGAGGAAGUGUUUCGAGGGUUCGAAGAACCCGCCAUCAAGAAUCGGAGAAUGGAGUCGUCUAAUGAAGAUCGAAGAGAAGCAGCAGGCAUUACAACUCCUACUUUAAGGAGAUCGAAGCGUUUGAAAAAAGCUAAAAUCGAACGAAAUUUUAUAUAUGGAAAUGCUUGUAAAUGAUUACUAUCGAAUUUAAUAUUUUUUCAAAUUAUAA
Molecule: long non-coding RNA, 887 nt
Organism: Sabethes cyaneus
Lineage: Eukaryota; Metazoa; Arthropoda; Insecta; Diptera; Culicidae
Exons: 3
Source: RefSeq, a predicted model, not a curated record